AUGUCCAUUAUGGUCCCAUUAUGGUUGAUGUGUAACCUUUUGGGGAUGUUUUUAUUUUUUCACAGGCCACAGUUUUACAACAGUUCAUGUCCCGAGGAACCAGCCGCCGAGCUAGAGGAGCUGAUCGGUGUUGAGCCGGAUCGUGGUCCCGAUCGCAGUGGGAGUGCUUCCCCGUCCUGCGGGCCCCCAAAUUCCAAAGCGGUUCCCUAUUCGGUGGAAGCGGUGCUCGCACCCGGGAUUUCCAAACCUUUUCCGUCGCUUUUUGGGUCAAACGGGGACUCUGCCUCCUCGUCUUCCCCACCGCGUUCUUUUGCUCCGCUGUCGGUCCCGGCCCACCGGGUAGAGGCGCCGUACUCCGUGGAGGCCGUCCUCAGGUCGGUCAAGUCCGUCGGAAGUUCUAACUUGACCCCCGCCAGGGAACCGCCUCCAUCCGCCAAUCCUCCGUGGACCUAUUACGGUUCGGACCUUUCCAAGGAGUUCCCAAAAGCUUCCCGGUUCUCGGGGCCGUUCCGUGGAAAGGAUUCGCGUUUGGAACACAACACCGGGGAAGCAAUUGACGCCGAAGCAAGGCCGAACGGAAAUCAAGAUGUUCCAUCCUCGAAUCAGGGUCAUAAACAAGCCAAACGCUGUCUGCCUGUGAAUAAAUGUGUCCCUCCGUACUAUCAGAGCUCUACAGAGGGCAUUGGAGUAGUUAUCAACUCAAACAGUUCGACGGAUGUCCGUGUUCCACCCGUUCAACCGGAAACCCGACCAGCUGAGGAAACGAGGAAAGCCUUCCACAGCCUUUUCGCAAACCCUCUUAAUCAGAACGUCUUCAACCCUCCCCGUCUCACACCACUUCCUGCUGCUGCACCGUCAACCCCCAGACACUCUGCACCGUCAAACCCCAGACACUCUGCACCGUCACCUACACGCGCUACACCUUCAACAAACAGGAAGGAGAAGACCGCUUCUGCUGACGCUAACGCUGGCCACAGUACACAUGUUCCAGCAAGGCCUCUCGCUCUCAAACCUGAACACGGACCAAGUGCGGCCUUUAAGGUCGCUAAGCCAGCAGUGCCUUCUGGCUCAAAGUCCCGGAGCACAGAGUCACCCGGCCCCUCUCCCCAAGCCAAGACGGCUUGCCGAGCGAGCGCACCGGCUCACUGUGAUCGAUCUGUACUGGGACGUAGUAAGCCUGUGAAGCGGCCCUACCACAGCAGCAUGGCGAGCUCAGGUACUGACACCGAUGAGGAUCUGCCUCCCUUACAGAUCGCGAUGGACCCGAUGGUCGGUUCUUCCGAUUCCCCAGAGCCGAGCGACGGGGAGCCGCCGGUCAAGGCCAGCGGGGGAGUGCUGCGCGGUCUGUUUGCGACCCCCAUCCACCAGACUACUGCUAUUGCGCCGCCUCCCUCGACCCCGGGGCACCGGGGUCCUUGGGAGCCUUGCCCUGCAGGGGGCAGCGGUGCACACCACACCCGGACACCUGGUGCUGCAGGCUCACCUGCGUCUCGUCCGGGUCCAAAACAUCCGAAGGAAAAAGAGCAGGAAUCCCGAACAACCGGCCCUCCGCCGCCGCCAGCUCAUUCCGUUCGGAAGAAUUUGCACAUGCCCGAAAUUUCUUCGGAGAAAGCCCCUUCCCAUGCAGCCACUAACACUAGUAAUUCAGUUCUCAAGAGCCUCUUCCUAAACUUGAGACCCUACAACCAGGAAGAACAACGUGUUACCCACAGCAAAAGUGGAGACAAAGAUGAGAUAAACCACAGGGCCAUCUCCAAAGAACCACAAACGACAGGAGAGGAGGAGGAGGAGGAAGAAGAAGAAGAAAAAGAGGAGGAGGAGGAGGAAGAGGAGGAGGAAGAAGAAGAAGAAGAAAAAGAGGAGGAGGAGGAGGAGGCCAGAAGGAAGGCGAUGAGGAGCACAGAGAUGUUGGGAGGAGUUGAGCCAGCAGGGUGUCAUGUGCAUCCUGACCACCAGGGCUCCGGUGAACCUCCCAGUCAGCCACCAGCUCCAGCUCAUCACCGGUCCCUGGAGAAGAACCCCCACAGCCGCUCUCCAAGGCCCUCUGCUGUGCGUCCGGCAGGCCGUUUGGACCCAGUCCAGCUCCUAUCCCACGGCGCUGAACAGCCUCCGAUCGGAUCAAACGGGCCCCUGACCCGGCCUCAGAGCCGACCGCCUCUGACCUCCAUGAAGGGGCUGCUGUCGAGCCUCUUCAAGACUCUGGACCCUGCUGCCUCUCCCUUUGGAAAUUAG
Molecule: long non-coding RNA, 2232 nt
Filed under: Gadus morhua (Atlantic cod)
Lineage: Eukaryota; Metazoa; Chordata; Actinopteri; Gadiformes; Gadidae
Description: lncRNA (ENSGMOG00000034999.1)
Source: RNAcentral